GGGUUGUGAGGUUAAGCGAAUAAGCGUACACGGUGGAUGCCUAGGCAAUCAGAGGCGAUGAAGGACGUGCUAAUCUGCGAAAAGCGUCGGUAAGGUGAUAUGAACCGUUAUACCCGACGAUAUCCGAAUGGGGAAACCCAGUAUCCAAUGGAUACUAUCAUUAACUGAAUCCAUAGGUUAAUGAGGCGAACCGGGAGAACUGAAACAUCUCAGUACCCCGAGGAAAAGAAAUCAACCGAGAUUCCCCUAGUAGCGGCGAGCGAACGGGGAGCAGCCCAGAGUCUUAAUCAAUAGCAGUGUCAGGAGAACGGUCUGGAAAGUCCGGCAGUAAAGGGUGAUAGCCCCGUAUCUGAAGAUGCUGUUAUUGUGAACUCGACGAGUAGGGCGGGACACGUGUUAUCCUGUCUGAAUAUGGGGGGACCAUCCUCCAAGGCUAAAUACUCCUGAUUGACCGAUAGUGAACCAGUACCGUGAGGGAAAGGCGAAAAGAACCCCGGCGAGGGGAGUGAAAAAGAACCUGAAACCGUGUACGUACAAGCAGUAGGAGCCCCAUCACUCAAGUGCCUCGCACUGAGUGAUGCAAGAACAUCACCGAAAAUAGCGCCGAAUUUGCUAACAAGGUUGGUCGAUUUUUUCAAGCCGUCGCGCAGUGUACCUAGAAGUACACGAGCAACGGAAGUUAAAAAAUCGGGCAAGAUUGAACGCAAAGGCAAGCGGGACAUUUGAGGAUGGGGUGACUGCGUACCUUUUGUAUAAUGGGUCAGCGACUUAUAUUCUGUAGCGAGGUUAACCGUAUAGGGGAGCCGUAGGGAAACCGAGUCUUAACUGGGCGAAUGAGUUGCAGGGUAUAGACCCGAAACCCGGUGAUCUAUCCAUGGGCAGGUUGAAGGUUGGGUAACACUAACUGGAGGACCGAACCGACUAAUGUUGAAAAAUUAGCGGAUGACUUGUGGAUGGGGGUGAAAGGCCAAUCAAACCGGGAGAUAGCUGGUUCUCCCCGAAAGCUAUUUAGGUAGCGCCUCGUGAACUCAUCUUCGGGGGUAGAGCACUGUUUCGACUAGGGGGUCAUCCCGACUUACCAACUCGAUGCAAACUGCGAAUACCGAAGAAUGUUAUCACGGGAGACACACGGCGGGUGCUAACGUCCGUCGUGAAGAGGGAAACAACCCAGACCGCCAGCUAAGGUCCCAAAGUCAUGGUUAAGUGGGAAACGAAGUGGGAAGGCUCAGACAGCCAGGAUGUUGGCUUAGAAGCAGCCAUCAUUUAAAGAAAGCGUAAUAGCUCACUGGUCGAGUCGGCCCGCGCGGAAGAUGUAACGGGGCUAAACCAUGCACCGAAGCUGCGGCAGCGACACACAGUGUUGUUGGGUAGGGGAGCGUUCUGUAAGCCUGCGAAGGUGUACUGUGAGGUAUGCUGGAGGUAUCAGAAGUGCGAAUGCUGACAUAAGUAACGAUAAUGCGGGUGAAAAACCCGCACGCCGGAAGACCAAGGGUUCCUGUCCAACGUUAAUCGGGGCAGGGUGAGUCGACCCCUAAGGCGAGGCUGAAAAGCGUAGUCGAUGGGAAACGGGUUAAUAUUCCCGUACUGGUGGUAACUGCGAUGGGGGAACGGAGAAGGCUAGGUUGUCCGGGCGACGGUCGUCCCGGUUCAAGCAGGUAGGCAGAGUGAUUAGGCAAAUCCGGUCACUUAAUGCUGAGAUGUGAUGACGAACCACCAAGGUGGUGAAGCAAUUGAUGCCCCGCUUCCAGGAAAAGCCUCUAAGCUUCAGGUUACCAACAAUCGUACCCCAAACCGACACAGGUGGUCAGGUAGAGAAUACUCAGGCGCUUGAGAGAACUCGGGUGAAGGAACUAGGCAAAAUGGUGCCGUAACUUCGGGAGAAGGCACGCUGGCGGUAGGUAAAGUCCCUCGCGGACAGAGCUGAAGCCAGUCGAAGAUACCAGCUGGCUGCAACUGUUUAUUAAAAACACAGCACUGUGCAAACACGAAAGUGGACGUAUACGGUGUGACGCCUGCCCGGUGCUGGAAGGUUAAUUGAUGGGGUCAGCCGCAAGGCGAAGCUCCUGAUCGAAGCCCCAGUAAACGGCGGCCGUAACUAUAACGGUCCUAAGGUAGCGAAAUUCCUUGUCGGGUAAGUUCCGACCUGCACGAAUGGCGUAAUGAUGGCCAGGCUGUCUCCACCCGAGACUCAGUGAAAUUGAACUCGCUGUGAAGAUGCAGUGUACCCGCGGCAAGACGGAAAGACCCCGUGAACCUUUACUAUAGCUUGACACUGAACAUUGAGCCUUGAUGUGUAGGAUAGGUGGGAGGCUUUGAAGUGUGGACGCCAGUCUGCAUGGAGCCAACCUUGAAAUACCACCCUUUAACGUUUGAUGUUCUAACCUAGGCCCAUAAACUGGGUCGGGGACCGUGUCUGGUGGGUAGUUUGACUGGGGCGGUCUCCUCCUAAAGAGUAACGGAGGAGCACGAAGGUUGGCUAAGCAUGGUCGGACAUCAUGCGGUUAGUGCAAAGGCAUAAGCCAGCUUGACUGCGAGAGUGACGGCUCGAGCAGGUACGAAAGUAGGUCUUAGUGAUCCGGUGGUUCUGAAUGGAAGGGCCAUCGCUCAACGGAUAAAAGGUACUCCGGGGAUAACAGGCUGAUACCGCCCAAGAGUUCAUAUCGACGGCGGUGUUUGGCACCUCGAUGUCGGCUCAUCACAUCCUGGGGCUGAAGUAGGUCCCAAGGGUAUGGCUGUUCGCCAUUUAAAGUGGUACGCGAGCUGGGUUUAGAACGUCGUGAGACAGUUCGGUCCCUAUCUGCCGUGGGCGUUGGAAGAUUGAGAGGGGUUGCUCCUAGUACGAGAGGACCGGAGUGAACGCACCACUGGUGUUCGGGUUGUCAUGCCAAUGGCAUUGCCCGGUAGCUAAGUGCGGAAGAGAUAACCGCUGAAAGCAUCUAAGCGGGAAACUUGCCUCGAGAUGAGUCUUCCCUGUCGCUUUAAGCGACCUAAAGGAACGUUUAAGACUAAGACGUUGAUAGGCUGGGUGUGUAAGCGUAGCGAUACGUUGAGCUAACCAGUACUAAUGAACCGUGAGGCUUAACCUGACAACACCGAAGGUGUUU
Molecule: ribosomal RNA, 3104 nt
Filed under: Proteus mirabilis
Lineage: Bacteria; Pseudomonadati; Pseudomonadota; Gammaproteobacteria; Enterobacterales; Morganellaceae
Description: 23S ribosomal RNA
Rfam family: Bacterial large subunit ribosomal RNA
Source: RNAcentral